This 409-nucleotide long non-coding RNA is filed under the name Elaeis guineensis (African oil palm). RNAcentral's name for it is "long non-coding RNA (EGUI_LNC062059)". Lineage: Eukaryota; Viridiplantae; Streptophyta; Magnoliopsida; Arecales; Arecaceae. The record is from RNAcentral.
CGUAGAAUCUUGGAUGGAGAUCAUUUAUCAGAGAAUCUUGACCGAAGCCUGUCUGCAAUAGAAAUCCGGAAGGAAUUCAUCCACAAUGGAAGCUCGGGUGAAGGCUUACAGUGGGAAUCUGUGGCGGACCGCUCGUGGUAGAAAUUUGAAGUAGAUCGUUUGUAGCAGAAGCUCGGAGUGGGUUGCUUGCAGUAGAAGCUCGGAGUCCGACCCUUGUAGGAGUUCGGGUGAGGUCUACCUGCAACAAGAGUUCAGGGUGGAAGUCCGACUCUCGUAGGAGCUCGGACGAAGUCUACCUGUUCGGGGAAGAAGUCCAGCUCCCGUAGGAGUCCGGACAAAGUCUACCUGCAGUUGAAGUUCAGGAAAGAGGUCUGGCUCCUGUAGGAGCCCGGACGAAGGCUACCUGCAG